AUUGAACGCUGGCGGCAUGCUUUACACAUGCAAGUCGAACGGCAGCGCGGGCUUCGGCCUGGCGGCGAGUGGCGAACGGGUGAGUAAUACAUCGGAACGUGCCCAGUAGUGGGGGAUAGCUCGGCGAAAGCCGGAUUAAUACCGCAUAGGACCUGAGGGUGAAAGCGGGGGAUCUUCGGACCUCGCGCUAUUGGAGCGGCCGAUGGCAGAUUAGCUAGUUGGUGGGGUAAAGGCCUACCAAGGCGACGAUCUGUAGCUGGUCUGAGAGGACGACCAGCCACACUGGGACUGAGACACGGCCCAGACUCCUACGGGAGGCAGCAGUGGGGAAUUUUGGACAAUGGGCGAAAGCCUGAUCCAGCAAUGCCGCGUGUGUGAUGAAGGCCUUCGGGUUGUAAAGCACUUUUGGCGGGAACGAAAAGGACUGUGCCAAUACCACGGUUCGAUGACGGUACCCGCAGAAUAAGCACCGGCUAACUACGUG
RNAcentral lists this ribosomal RNA (484 nucleotides) under uncultured bacterium. RNAcentral's name for it is "partial 16S ribosomal RNA". It matches the Rfam family "Bacterial small subunit ribosomal RNA", at positions 29 to 507 of the family's 1533-position model. The record is from RNAcentral.